Molecule: non-coding RNA, 78 nt
Organism: Lactarius quietus
Lineage: Eukaryota; Fungi; Basidiomycota; Agaricomycetes; Russulales; Russulaceae
Source: the annotation of a GenBank genome assembly
UCGGAUAUGGUGUAACGGCUAACAUUACCGCCUCUCACUUGAUCGCGGUAGCUCGGGGUUCGAUUCCCCGUAUCCGAA